RNAcentral lists this ribosomal RNA (115 nucleotides) under Cebus imitator (Panamanian white-faced capuchin). Lineage: Eukaryota; Metazoa; Chordata; Mammalia; Primates; Cebidae. The record is from RNAcentral.
CCUUAGGGCCACAUUGCCCUGAAUGCGUUUGAUCUCAUCCCCUCUUGGAAGCUAAGCAGGGUCAGGCCUGGUGACUACCUAGAUGGGAGGAGAAAAGGAGGAGUUGCCUCACGGA